GAUGAACGCUGACAGAAUGCUUAACACAUGCAAGUCAACUUGAAUCUGGGUUUUUAACUUAGGUUUGGGUGGCGGACGGGUGAGUAACGCGUAAAGAACUUGCCUCACAGCUAGGGACAACAUUUGGAAACGAAUGCUAAUACCUAAUAUUAUGAUAAUAGGGCAUCCUAUAAUUAUGAAAGCUAUAAGCGCUGUGAGAGAGCUUUGCGUCCCAUUAGCUAGUUGGAGAGGUAACGGCUCACCAAGGCGGUGAUGGGUAGCCGGCCUGAGAGGGUGAUCGGCCACAAGGGGACUGAGACACGGCCCUUACUCCUACGGGAGGCAGCAGUGGGGAAUAUUGGACAAUGGACCGAGAGUCUGAUCCAGCAAUUCUGUGUGCACGAUGAAGUUUUUCGGAAUGUAAAGUGCUUUCAGUUGGGAAGAAACAAAUGACGGUACCAACAGAAGAAGUGACGGCUAAAUACGUG
This 467-nucleotide ribosomal RNA is filed under the name uncultured bacterium. RNAcentral describes it as "partial 16S ribosomal RNA". It matches the Rfam family "Bacterial small subunit ribosomal RNA", at positions 28 to 507 of the family's 1533-position model. The record is from RNAcentral.